Molecule: ribosomal RNA, 253 nt
Filed under: uncultured bacterium
Lineage: Bacteria
Description: partial 16S ribosomal RNA
Rfam family: Bacterial small subunit ribosomal RNA
Source: RNAcentral
UACGUAGGGUGCAAGCGUUGUCCGGAAUUAUUGGGCGUAAAGAGCUCGUAGGCGGUUUGGCGCGUCGGCUGUGAAAACUCGGGGCUCAACCCCGAGCCUGCAGUCGAUACGGGCAGACUAGAGUGCGGUAGGGGAGACUGGAAUUCCUGGUGUAGCGGUGAAAUGCGCAGAUAUCAGGAGGAACACCGGUGGCGAAGGCGGGUCUCUGGGCCGUAACUGACGCUGAGGAGCGAAAGCGUGGGUAGCAAACAGG